GCCUGGGUUGCUCAGUCGGUUGAGCAUCUGACUUCGGCUCAGGUUAUGAUCUCACGGUUUGUGAGUUUGAGUCCCACAUCGGGCU
This 85-nucleotide transfer RNA is filed under the name Felis catus (domestic cat). It matches the Rfam family "tRNA". Rfam says of the family: Transfer RNA (tRNA) molecules are approximately 80 nucleotides in length. The record is from Rfam by way of RNAcentral. Lineage: Eukaryota; Metazoa; Chordata; Mammalia; Carnivora; Felidae.